RNAcentral lists this microRNA precursor (101 nucleotides) under Marmota monax (woodchuck). The record is from RNAcentral. Lineage: Eukaryota; Metazoa; Chordata; Mammalia; Rodentia; Sciuridae.
AAGAGUUACCUGAAGGGAUCUUGUUACAGUGCAGAUCUUGAUUCAGCAUUCUAGGUGGGGCUGGGGGUCUGCAUUUCUACAAGUUCUCAGAGGCUGCAGCU